AUACAGAGGGUGCAAGCGUUAAUCGGAAUUACUGGGCGUAAAGCGCGCGUAGGCGGUUUGUUAAGUCGGAUGUGAAAUCCCCGGGCUCAACCUGGGAACUGCAUUCGAAACUGGCGAGCUAGAGUAUGGUAGAGGAUAGUGGAAUUCCGGGUGUAGCGGUGAAAUGCGUAGAUAUCAGGAGGAACAUCAGUGGCGAAGGCGGCUAUCUGGACCAAUACUGACGCUGAGGUGCGAAAGCGUGGGGAGCAAACAGGAUUAGAAACCCUAGUAGUCC
This 274-nucleotide ribosomal RNA is filed under the name uncultured bacterium. RNAcentral's name for it is "partial 16S ribosomal RNA". It matches the Rfam family "Bacterial small subunit ribosomal RNA", at positions 523 to 796 of the family's 1533-position model. The record is from RNAcentral.